UACGGAGGGUGCAAGCGUUAUCCGGAUUCACUGGGUUUAAAGGGUGCGUAGGUGGGUCUGUAAGUCAGUGGUGAAAUCUUCGAGCUUAACUCGGAAACUGCCAUUGAUACUAUAGAUCUUGAAUUUUCUGGAGGUAAGCGGAAUAUGUCAUGUAGCGGUGAAAUGCUUAGAUAUGACAUAGAACACCAAUUGCGAAGGCAGCUUACUACGGGAACAUUGACACUGAGGCACGAAAGCGUGGGGAGCAAACAGG
Molecule: ribosomal RNA, 253 nt
Filed under: uncultured bacterium
Lineage: Bacteria
Description: partial 16S ribosomal RNA
Rfam family: Bacterial small subunit ribosomal RNA
Source: RNAcentral